Molecule: ribosomal RNA, 486 nt
Filed under: uncultured bacterium
Lineage: Bacteria
Description: bacterial SSU rRNA
Rfam family: Bacterial small subunit ribosomal RNA
Source: RNAcentral
GACGACGCUGGCGGCGUGGAUUAGGCAUGCAAGUCGAACGGUAUCAUCCUUUCGGGGGUGAGAGAGUGGCGAACUGGUGAGUAACACGUAGGUUAUCUAUCCUCAAGACGGGAACAACCCAGGGAAACUUGGGCUAAUACCGGAUGUGAGCAACUUUUAGUUGUUUGAAAGGUGGCGUAAGCUGUCGCUUGGGGAUGAGCCUGCGUCCUAUUAGUUAGUUGGUGAGGUAACGGCUCACCUAGGCAAUGAUAGGUAGGCGGCCUUAACGGGUGGUCGCCCACACUGGGAUUGAGAUACGGCCCAGACUCCUACGGGAGGCAGCAGUCGAGAAUAGUCUACAAUGGUCGGAAGACUGAUAGUGCGACGCCGCGUGAACGAUGAAUCCCUUCGGGGUGUAAAGUUCUUUUAUAUGUGAGCAGUGCUUCUUAUAUUAACAGUAUGGGGAGAGAGAUAUUAGCAUAUGAAUAAGCAACGGCUAACUCCGUG